UGGGGAAUUUUCCGCAAUGGGCGCAAGCCUGACGGAGCAACGCCGCGUGAGGGAGGAAGGUCUGUGGAUUGUAAACCUCUUUUCUCUGGGAAGAAGAUCUGACGGUACCAGAGGAAUCAGCAUCGGCUAACUCCGUGCCAGCAGCCGCGGUAAGACGGAGGAUGCAAGCGUUGUUCGGAAUUACUGGGCGUAAAGGGCGCGUAGGCGGCACAUCAAGUCAGAGGUGAAAGCCCCGGGCUCAACCUGGGAAUUGCCUUUGAAACUGAUGAGCUAGAGUCCGGAAGAGGAUAGCGGAAUUCCCAGUGUAGAGGUGAAAUUCGUAGAUAUUGGGAAGAACACCAGUGGCGAAGGCGGCUAUCUGGUCCGGUACUGACGCUGAGGCGCGAAAGCGUGGGGAGCAAACAGGAUUAGAUACCCCUGUAGUCC
This 426-nucleotide ribosomal RNA is filed under the name uncultured prokaryote. RNAcentral's name for it is "bacterial SSU rRNA". It matches the Rfam family "Bacterial small subunit ribosomal RNA", at positions 355 to 796 of the family's 1533-position model. The record is from RNAcentral.